ACGAAGCCGCGAGGUAGAGCAAAUCUCAAAAAGACAUCUCAGUCCAGAUUGCAGGCUGCAACUCGCCUGCAUGAAGUCGGAAUUGCUAGUAAUCGUAGGUCAGCAUACUACGGUGAAUACGUUCCCGGGCCUUGUACACACCGCCCGUCACACCAUGGGAGUCGGUAACACCCGAAGCCGAUAGUCUAACGAAAGAGGACGUCGUCGAAGGUGGGAUUGAUGACUGGGGUGAAGUCGUAACAAGGUAUC
Molecule: ribosomal RNA, 249 nt
Filed under: uncultured bacterium
Lineage: Bacteria
Description: partial 16S ribosomal RNA
Rfam family: Bacterial small subunit ribosomal RNA
Source: RNAcentral